GACGAACGCUGGCGGCGUGCUUAACACAUGCAAGUCGAACGGAAAGGCCUCUUUCGGGGGGUACUCGCGUGGCGAACGGGUGAGUAACACGUGAGUAACCUGCCCUUGACUUUGGGAUAACUUCAGGAAACUGGGGCUAAUACCGGAUAGGAGCUCCUGCUGCAUGGUGGGGGUUGGAAAGUUUCGGCGGUUGGGGAUGGACUCGCGGCUUAUCAGCUUGUUGGUGGGGUAGUGGCUUACCAAGGCUUUGACGGGUAGCCGGCCUGAGAGGGUGACCGGCCACAUUGGGACUGAGAUACGGCCCAGACUCCUACGGGAGGCAGCAGUGGGGAAUAUUGCACAAUGGGUGGAAGCCUGAUGCAGCAACGCCGUGUGCGGGAUGACGGCCUUCGGGUUGGAAACCGCUUUCGCUCAUGACGAAGCUUUGUGUGACGGUAGUGGGUAAAGAAGCACCGGCUAACUACGUG
This 467-nucleotide ribosomal RNA is filed under the name uncultured bacterium. RNAcentral describes it as "partial 16S ribosomal RNA". It matches the Rfam family "Bacterial small subunit ribosomal RNA", at positions 28 to 507 of the family's 1533-position model. The record is from RNAcentral.